UACGUAGGGGGCUUGCGUUGUCCGGAAUCAUUGGGCGUAAAGAGCGUGUAGGCGGCCCGGUAAGUCCGCUGUGAAAGUCGGGGGCUCAACCCUCGAAUGCCGGUGGAUACUGUCGGGCUAGAGUGCGGAAGAGGCGAGUGGAAUUCCUGGUGUAGCGGUGAAAUGCGCAGAUAUCAGGAGGAACACCGAUUGCGAAGGCAGCUCGCUGGGACGUCACUGACGCUGAGACGCGAAAGCGUGGGGAGCAAACAGG
Molecule: ribosomal RNA, 253 nt
Filed under: uncultured bacterium
Lineage: Bacteria
Description: partial 16S ribosomal RNA
Rfam family: Bacterial small subunit ribosomal RNA
Source: RNAcentral